CCUACGGGGUGCAGCAGUGGGGAAUAUUGCACAAUGGGGGAAACCCUGAUGCAGCGACGCCGCGUGAGUGAAGAAGUAAUUCGUUAUGUAAAGCUCUAUCAGCAGGGAAGAAAAUGACGGUACCUGAGUAAGAAGCCACGGGUAACUACGUGCCAGCAGCCGCGGUAAGACGUAGGGGACAAGCGUUAUCCGGAUUUACUGGGUGUAAAGGGAGCGGAGAAGGCAGUGCAAUUCUGGAGUGAAAGGCGGGGGCUCAACCCCCGGACUGCUCUGGAAACUGUACGGCUGGAGUGCAGGAGAGGUAAGUGGAAUUCCUAGUGUAGCGGUGAAAUGCGUAGAUAUUAGGAGGAACACCAGUUGCGAAGGCGGCUUACUGGACUGUAACUGACGUUGAGGCUCGAAAGCGUGGGGAGCAAACAGGAUUAGAUACCCCAGUAGUC
This 440-nucleotide ribosomal RNA is filed under the name uncultured bacterium. RNAcentral's name for it is "partial 16S ribosomal RNA". It matches the Rfam family "Bacterial small subunit ribosomal RNA", at positions 338 to 795 of the family's 1533-position model. The record is from RNAcentral.